ACGGGACUCAAGCCUCUGACCCCCUGACCACUAACAACGGGACUCAAGCCUCUGACCCUUUGGCCUCUAACAACGUGACUCAAGCCUCUGACAACCACAAACUGGCCUCCGACAUCUCUGAGAAGCCUGCUUCGAGUCAAAGCAACAACUCCAUGAUGCCCAUUCAUCACAAUCAAAAUGUUUCACAAACAUCGCUAAGCAAAGGUUGCAGGAAACACUAUAAGGCCGUUGGACUACAAUUGCUUCAGGCAAUCUCAAAUUACAAGGAUGUUAAAGAAGUAAGCCGAGAGUCGGAUCAGGUGAACGCCGAGGCAUCAUCAGGAACUGACCCCAAAGCAGUCGGGGCUGCUUUGGAUGCCAACGAUUUAGCCGCUCUGAAUAAUGUUUUAACUGGACAACAGCAUAAUGGACAAGAAACUGACUAUAACGAAUGUAUGCCUUGAUAAUAAAAACUUUUAAUUGAUACUGUACAAUGUUUUUAUUUGAGGGGUGGUUUGUAAAUCUGGACCAAGCAAUCUGUACUUGAUGCACUUAUUUCCCAUUUGACUGGUUGUGUGGGCAGAACCUGGGAGUUGUGACUUGGGACAAGCCCCUUCACUGUCUCAAGUCCCAUCUUAAAACUCACCUUUACUCUGGCUUUUAACUCCAGGUAGCGUGUUGAUGUGUUAUGUAGAUGUAUUAUGUGGGCAGUGGAUCUUAUUUAUUGGAUUCUAUUUGGGUAUCUUUUAUGCUAUUGAGCCUCUCAUCUUUUAUUGUGCUUCUGUGGUGUCAUCUUGUUGUACAGCACUUUUAAAUAGUGAUAUGUAAAGUGGAAGUAGGCAGCGCUGUGAUCUUCAGUAAUGGCAUUUGUGUGGGGGGGAACUACUUGACAAAUGUGGUACUUGUACUAUUGUAUGCUUAAAUUGAAGAUUUCCCUGUAAUGAAAUGGAAUCAUUCUAGCUCCUGCCAAGGCUAAUCUUCCCUUGGUUUGAAGCCUGCACUUGGGAGUAAAAUCGAAUUUUCUCUCCAAGACAAAACCGCGACCAAGCGACGGUAAAGGCAUGCUUCUUGCUCUAGUGAUCAUUUCCAUAAUGUUUGAAUAGGCCUACCUUCAAGACGGUGGACUUCUACAGGAAGCACCAGGACUCCAUGACCCCAGCCGGUCUGGGCUUCUUCCAGAGCCAGUGGGACGAGUCGGUCACCAACACCUUCCACAACACGCUUGACAUGAAGGAGCCGGUGUUUGAGUUCGUGCGGCCCCCCGUGUACCACCCGCCGCGGGUCAAGUUCCCCCACAGGCAGCCGCUCCGCUACCUGGACCGCUACCGUGAGGGCAAGGAGCACACCUACGGCAUCUACUGAGCCCCACAGACGCACACAUCUGGAGCUACCGCUGGACGACAUGUUAAUAUAAUAAAUUGUUUUUUUUGUA
Gadus morhua (Atlantic cod) is the source of this 1411-nucleotide long non-coding RNA. RefSeq lists it as uncharacterized. The transcript has 4 exons. NCBI's taxonomy places the organism in Eukaryota, Metazoa, Chordata, Actinopteri, Gadiformes, Gadidae. The record is from RefSeq and is a predicted model, not a curated record.